CGUUUAGGGGUAAACCUGAGAAACCCGAAAGGUCGAAGGGAGAAAUUCAUUCGUGUUUCGUUGUCGGCAUCAGGUGGAUUGUGUGACGAGGAAAGUUUUUCGGAAUUUUCAUUGCGCCGUUCAUUUGUAUGAACCGAUAACGAAUGCGUGCACUUUUCUCCUGGUAGGACAUCGCGAUCCGUCGAGUAUCGGUCUAUGGCUUAAUGGUGGAGACCAUUUAUUUCUAUUUUUAAUAGAAAUAAAUGGACCCGUUUUGUUUCCUGACCGAUUUGCUUAACGGUAUCAAAAUCAAGUUGGUUUAAUCGGUCGCUUUUUCUAAGCGUUCAACUUGUUGCAAGCGCACUAAAUGUUUAAUUGAAAAUCGGGCCUAGUACCGGUUUCAAUCUUUAGUGACUGUUGGCAAUAAUGUUCUUGAACAGGCCGUCUAAAUAUUAGAAAACCGAUCAGCGAUGCUAUAGCUUUGGGUAAUUUCAGGACCCGUCUUGAAACACGGACCAAGGAGUCUAGCAUGUACGCAAGUCAUUGGGAUAUUUACUAAACCUAAAGGCGUAAUGAAAGUAAAGAUUUUUCUUUAGAAAAAUCAAGGAAAGACAGGUGUAUCAAUUUUCAUUGAUAUACUUUGCAUUUCCGGGGCGUUUCAUUCUCAUUGCGAGUAGAGGCGCACCAAGAGCGUACACGCUGGGACCCGAAAGAUGGUGAACUAUGCCUGGUCAGGAGAAA
This 720-nucleotide ribosomal RNA is filed under the name Xyloctonus maculatus. Its description in RNAcentral is "eukaryotic LSU rRNA". It matches the Rfam family "Eukaryotic large subunit ribosomal RNA", at positions 406 to 850 of the family's 3401-position model. The record is from RNAcentral. Lineage: Eukaryota; Metazoa; Arthropoda; Insecta; Coleoptera; Curculionidae.